CUGGAAACAGUUGCUGCCUGCGGAUCUUAUCCAUGGGAUCAGCUUGGAAGAAGUUGGGGGUUGUGUUUGUAAUCUGUUGUUACCAGAAGUCGAGCUUCUGGGAAGAAAUAAAGGGAUCAUAGGCCCUGCGGUCAGCCCAGUGUGGACUCAGAGGUUCAGAUUCAUGUGUGGGGUUCUUCCGGUCUGCCCAGAAGUACUCUGAACACCCCAAACAAGCAAACAUCUCAGCUCCAGGUCUGAGGAGGGGAUUGUCUUUGAAGUGGUUCAAUUAAGGUAUGAUACAUAUUCAAAAUUGCUUUUUAUUUAAAAAAAUUUCUCAUGAGUUUG
RNAcentral lists this long non-coding RNA (327 nucleotides) under Bos indicus x Bos taurus (hybrid cattle). Its description in RNAcentral is "lncRNA (ENSBIXG00000014672.1)". Lineage: Eukaryota; Metazoa; Chordata; Mammalia; Artiodactyla; Bovidae. The record is from RNAcentral.